UUCGGAUUGUAGGCUGCAACUCGCCUACAUGAAGCUGGAAUUGCUAGUAAUCAUAGGUCAGCAUACUAUGGUGAAUACGUUCCCGGGCCUUGUACACACCGCCCGUCACACCAUGAGAGUUGAGAAUACCCGAAGUCCAUGUUAAAGUGGCCGAAGGUAGGCUUGAUGAUUGGGGUGAAGUCGUAACAAGGUAAC
RNAcentral lists this ribosomal RNA (195 nucleotides) under uncultured bacterium. Its description in RNAcentral is "partial 16S ribosomal RNA". It matches the Rfam family "Bacterial small subunit ribosomal RNA", at positions 1292 to 1500 of the family's 1533-position model. The record is from RNAcentral.